GACAGAGGAUGCAAGCGUUAUCCGGAAUGAUUGGGCGUAAAGCGUCUGUAGGUGGCUUUUUAAGUCUGCCGUCAAAUCCCAGGGCUUAACCCUGGACAGGCGGUGGAAACUACCAAGCUGGAGUACGGUAGGGGCAGGGGGAAUUUCCGGUGGAGCGGCGAAAUGCGUAGAGAUCGGAAAGAACACCAACGGCGAAAGCACUCUGCUGGGCCGACACUGACACUGAGACACGAAAGCGUGGGUAGCAAACAGG
This 253-nucleotide ribosomal RNA is filed under the name uncultured bacterium. RNAcentral describes it as "partial 16S ribosomal RNA". It matches the Rfam family "Bacterial small subunit ribosomal RNA", at positions 524 to 776 of the family's 1533-position model. The record is from RNAcentral.